Molecule: long non-coding RNA, 344 nt
Filed under: Gossypium raimondii (Peruvian cotton)
Lineage: Eukaryota; Viridiplantae; Streptophyta; Magnoliopsida; Malvales; Malvaceae
Description: long non-coding RNA (GRAI_LNC005764)
Source: RNAcentral
UGGUGGUUAACUUAAACAUUCUAUCGUUCUUUUUUCUUUUUUUCUAAAAGUUUAGCCCUUUGUUUUCCUAUUCUUCCUUCUUUUAUUUUUCUUCUUUCAGCAAUUGAUUUUUUUUAUGUAAAUUGGGAAGUCUUGUUGCCUGUGAGGUCGAUAUUGUGUAAGUUCCGUUGUGAUUCCCUUACAUUUGAGAUUUUCGUUGUGUUAACAAUUUUCUGUCAAAACGGGAUUUUUCUCGUUUACUUGACGUUCUAUUAAACACUCAAUUGGUUACUUUGUUUAGGAAAAGAUAUUGCAAGAAACGUUAAUCUGCUGUGUUAGUUUGAUUUCACCUAUUUUGUGCGAUG